UGAACCUUUCCCAAAAUUUCACCAAUGUGUC
Molecule: non-coding RNA, 31 nt
Filed under: Mus musculus (house mouse)
Lineage: Eukaryota; Metazoa; Chordata; Mammalia; Rodentia; Muridae
Source: RNAcentral